Molecule: ribosomal RNA, 416 nt
Filed under: Veillonella dispar
Lineage: Bacteria; Bacillati; Bacillota; Negativicutes; Veillonellales; Veillonellaceae
Description: bacterial SSU rRNA
Source: RNAcentral
GCUUAACACAUGCAAGUCGAACGAAGAGCGAUGGAAGCUUGCUUCUAUCAAUCUUAGUGGCGAACGGGUGAGUAACGCGUAAUCAACCUGCCCUUCAGAGGGGGACAACAGUUGGAAACGACUGCUAAUACCGCAUACGAUCUAAYCUCGGCAUCGAGGAURGAUGAAAGGUGGCCUCUAUUUAUAAGCUAUCACUGAAGGAGGGGAUUGCGUCUGAUUAGCUAGUUGGAGGGGUAACGGCCCACCAAGGCGAUGAUCAGUAGCCGGUCUGAGAGGAUGAACGGCCACAUUGGGACUGAGACACGGCCCAGACUCCUACGGGAGGCAGCAGUGGGGAAUCUUCCGCAAUGGACGAAAGUCUGACGGAGCAACGCCGCGUGAGUGAUGACGGCCUUCGGGUUGUAAAGCUCUGUUAA